CAGCCGCCGCGGUAAUACGUAGGUGGCAAGCGUUGUCCGGAAUUAUUGGGCGUAAAGCGCGCGCAGGUGGUUUAAUAAGUCUGAUGUGAAAGCCCACGGCUCAACCGUGGAGGGUCAUUGGAAACUGUUAAACCUGAGUGCAGGAGAGAAAAGUGGAACUCCUAGUGUAGCGGUGAAAUGCGUAGAGAUUAGGAGGAACACCAGUGGCGAAGGCGGCUUUUUGGCCUGUAACUGACACUGAGGCGCGAAAGCGUGGGGAGCAAACAGGAUUAGAUACCCCAGUAGUCCCUGUCUCUUAUAC
Molecule: ribosomal RNA, 301 nt
Filed under: uncultured bacterium
Lineage: Bacteria
Description: partial 16S ribosomal RNA
Rfam family: Bacterial small subunit ribosomal RNA
Source: RNAcentral